RNAcentral lists this ribosomal RNA (252 nucleotides) under uncultured bacterium. RNAcentral describes it as "partial 16S ribosomal RNA". It matches the Rfam family "Bacterial small subunit ribosomal RNA", at positions 524 to 776 of the family's 1533-position model. The record is from RNAcentral.
UACGUAGGUCCCGAGCGUUGUCCGGAUUUAUUGGGCGUAAAGCGAGCGCAGGUGGUUUAUUAAGUCUGGUGUAAAAGGCAGUGGCUCAACCAUUGUAUGCAUUGGAAACUGGUAGACUUGAGUGCAGGAGAGGAGAGUGGAAUUCCAUGUGUAGCGGUGAAAUGCGUAGAUAUAUGGAGGAACACUGGUGGCGAAAGCGGCUCUCUGGCCUGUAACUGACACUGAGGCUCGAAAGCGUGGGGAGCAAACGGG